UACGUAGGUGGCAAGCGUUGUCCGGAUUUACUGGGCGUAAAGCGCGCGCAGGCGGCCCUUUAAGUCCGUCGGUCAAAUGCCGGGGCUCAACCCCGAGCGUGCCGAGGAUACUGGAGGGCUGGAGACACGUAGAGGCAAGCGGAAUUCCGGGUGUAGCGGUGGAAUGCGUAGAGAUCCGGAAGAACACCGGAGGCGAAGGCGGCUGCCUGGACCGGCCCUGACGCUGAGGCGCGAAAGCUAGGGGAGCAAACAGG
Molecule: ribosomal RNA, 254 nt
Filed under: uncultured bacterium
Lineage: Bacteria
Description: partial 16S ribosomal RNA
Rfam family: Bacterial small subunit ribosomal RNA
Source: RNAcentral